UAAAUGAUUAUUAUUUCUCCAAAGACGAAGCCAUGAAAGUAAAACAAAUGACUAGUUAUUGAGACAUGAUAAUAAUUCCAGUACACACCAUUAUCAACAAAAGAGAAAUAAAACACUGCAAAUCCAAGCCUACAUGAUCAGACGGUCCGAAGAGGUGAAAGAAGGGGAAAGAGCCCUAGUUGGAAGACUUAUCGUCAUUCUUGUAGUACACGUAAUCGGGAGGAGAGUAAACGAGAGCGGCGGCCAUGGCUCCUGGAAGAACAAGGUACUUGGCGAACAC
RNAcentral lists this unclassified non-coding RNA (280 nucleotides) under Hevea brasiliensis (rubber tree). The record is from RNAcentral. Lineage: Eukaryota; Viridiplantae; Streptophyta; Magnoliopsida; Malpighiales; Euphorbiaceae.